RNAcentral lists this ribosomal RNA (433 nucleotides) under uncultured bacterium. RNAcentral describes it as "partial 16S ribosomal RNA". It matches the Rfam family "Bacterial small subunit ribosomal RNA", at positions 29 to 507 of the family's 1533-position model. The record is from RNAcentral.
AGCGAACGCUGGCGGCAGGCCUAACACAUGCAAGUCGAACGAACUCUUCGGAGUUAGUGGCGGACGGGUGAGUACCACGUGGGAACGUGCCAUUAGGUUCGGAAUAACUUAGGGAAACGUGUGCUAAUACCGAAUGUGCCCUUCGGGGGAAAGAUUUAUCGACUUUGGAGCGGCGCGCUUCAGAUUAGGUAGUUGGUGAGGUAAUGGCUCACCAAGGCGACGAUCAGUAGCUGGUCUGAGAGGAUGAUCAGCCACAUUGGGACUGAGACACGGCCCAAACUCCUACGGGAGGCAGCAGUGGGGAAUCUUGCGCAAUGGGCGAAAGCCUGACGCAGCCAUGCCGCGUGAAUGAUGAAGGUCUUAGGAUUGUAAAAUUCUUUCACCGGGGACGAUAAUGACGGUACCCGGAGAAGAAGCCCCGGCUAACUUCGUG